Molecule: long non-coding RNA, 435 nt
Filed under: Mytilus galloprovincialis (Mediterranean mussel)
Lineage: Eukaryota; Metazoa; Mollusca; Bivalvia; Mytilida; Mytilidae
Source: RNAcentral
AAUUAUAGUUCCAAAGGAGUAGGUCCGGUAAGACCUCUUUUUGGCCCCAAAAUAUAGCGGUUUUACAAAAUUGUUAAAAUGUAAACUUUUACUUAGUUAUUGGAUAGUAGAAUGGUUCUGCUACAUAAAUAUGGGCUAUUUUUGACACUACAAUGCACAUAUAUUGGGUACUAGCACCAUGAAAUCGUGCUAAAUUACUGAAAUCUUCACAAUUCCAUCAUUUUAGUUAAAUUUUAGAAGGUUUCCGGGUAAAACGAAAUUUGCCGCAUUCGUGUUCAUCCAAAAUAUUGAAAUGGAAGUUGUAUUUGAUGAUAAUACAUAACAUAUGUAAAGAUUGAGAAUGAACACGGAUGCGUCCACUUCCGUUUUUGACAAAAACCAUCUGAAAAGUGACAUUUUUGCGGAUAUUUGAUAGAUUUUUCAUAUUUGAGCUUG